GUGCCAGCAGCCGCGGUAAUACGGAGGGUGCAAGCGUUAAUCGGAAUUACUGGGCGUAAAGCGCGCGUAGGUGGCUUGAUAAGCCGGUUGUGAAAGCCCCGGGCUCAACCUGGGAACGGCAUCCGGAACUGUCAGGCUAGAGUGCAGGAGAGGAAGGUAGAAUUCCCGGUGUAGCGGUGAAAUGCGUAGAGAUCGGGAGGAAUACCAGUGGCGAAAGGCGGCCCUUCUGGACUGACACUGACACUGAGGUGCGAAAGCGUGGGUAGCAAACAGGAUUAGAUACCCUGGUAGUCC
Molecule: ribosomal RNA, 294 nt
Filed under: uncultured microorganism
Description: partial 16S ribosomal RNA
Rfam family: Bacterial small subunit ribosomal RNA
Source: RNAcentral